This 447-nucleotide ribosomal RNA is filed under the name uncultured bacterium. RNAcentral's name for it is "bacterial SSU rRNA". It matches the Rfam family "Bacterial small subunit ribosomal RNA", at positions 355 to 825 of the family's 1533-position model. The record is from RNAcentral.
UGGGGAAUAUUGGACAAUGGGCGAAAGCCUGAUCCAGCAAUGCCGCGUGAAGGAUGAAGUAUUUCGGUAUGUAAACUUCGUAAGAAUAGGAAGAAUAAAUGACGGUACUAUUUGUAAGGUCCGGCUAACUACGUGCCAGCAGCCGCGGUAAUACGUAGGGACCAAGCGUUGUUCGGAUUUACUGGGCGUAAAGGGCGCGUAGGCGGUGUGUCAAGUCAGUUGUGAAAUCUCCGAGCUUAACUCGGAACGGUCAACUGAUACUGUCACACUAGAGUACAGAAGGGGCAAUCGGAAUUCUUGGUGUAGCGGUGAAAUGCGUAGAUAUCAAGAGGAACACCUGAGGCGAAGGCGGGUUGCUGGGCUGACACUGACGCUGAGGCGCGAAAGCUAGGGUAGCAAACGGGAUUAGAUACCCACGUAGUCCCUGAGCGGGCUGGCAAGGCGCAU